Rattus rattus (black rat) is the source of this 423-nucleotide non-coding RNA. Lineage: Eukaryota; Metazoa; Chordata; Mammalia; Rodentia; Muridae. The record is from the annotation of a RefSeq genome assembly.
AUGGACUGCAUUUGGAUUAUGCUUUAUCUGCUGGCAGCAGCUACAGGUACCCAGUCCCAGGUUCAUCUGCAACAGUCUGGGCCUGAACUGAGGAGCCCUGGAUCUUCAGUAAAGCUGUCUUGCAAGGAUUUUGACUUAGAUAACUUUCCUAUUGCUUAUAUGAGUUGGGUGAGGCAGAAGUCUCGGCAUGAACUUGAAUGGAUUGGAGACAUACUCCCAAGUAUUGGCAGAACAAACUAUGGAGAGAAGUUUGAAGACAGAGUCACACUGGAUGCAGACACGAUGUCCAGCACAGCCUACAUGGAGCUCAGCAGUCUGACAUCUGAGGACUCUGCAGUCUAUUACUGUGCAAGACACAGUGCUACAGAUCAUAUCUGGAACUUGUCAAAAACUCCAAAUAACAGGAAGCUAUAUUGGGCUUGA